Solanum stenotomum is the source of this 506-nucleotide long non-coding RNA. RefSeq lists it as uncharacterized. Lineage: Eukaryota; Viridiplantae; Streptophyta; Magnoliopsida; Solanales; Solanaceae. The record is from RefSeq and is a predicted model, not a curated record. The transcript is spliced from 3 exons.
GAAUUUCAUUCGAAUCCUUUUUAUUUAGAAUAUACACUAAAUCCGUAAGCAAAAGCAUUACAAUAUCAAUAAGCCAAUCUCUCAAAAGAGAAACACCAAUUGAUUACACAGUUCAAAUGACACAAGAUGCAAUAUCAUGCAAUUAUUGUAAAGUCAAACGUGUUUUAGUUGUGAAGGAGGAGGAGAUGAUGUGUAAUGAUAACCAUGAAAUUUCAAUGGUAGUGGAGGUGGGUUUUAGUACUAGGGUUGCCCACCAAAGGGAAAUGGAGGAAAUGUGAGUGGACGUAGUCGUGGAAAUGGUGGAAUAAUUAUUUGAAAUGGAGGAGGCGGGGACUGAACUGGAGGUGGUGGAGAUGGAGAAGGUGGUGGAGAUGGCGAUGGAGGAGGGGGGGAGUUUAUUAAAGGUGGUGGAGGAGUACAAUUAGGUGGCGGAGGUGGAGUUCGCAACCAGGGAACUAGUAUUGGAAAAGGGAAUAAAGAUGGUGAGGGAGGAGAUUUAUUAUUGC